This 253-nucleotide ribosomal RNA is filed under the name uncultured bacterium. RNAcentral's name for it is "partial 16S ribosomal RNA". It matches the Rfam family "Bacterial small subunit ribosomal RNA", at positions 524 to 776 of the family's 1533-position model. The record is from RNAcentral.
UACGAAGGGGGCUAGCGUUGCUCGGAAUUACUGGGCGUAAAGCGCACGUAGGCGGCUUUCUAAGUCGGAGGUGAAAUCCUGGAGCUCAACUCCAGAACUGCCUUCGAUACUGGAGAGCUUGAGUCCGGGAGAGGUGAGUGGAACUCCUAGUGUAGAGGUGAAAUUCGUAGAUAUUAGGAAGAACACCAGUGGCGAAGGCGGCUCACUGGCCCGGUACUGACGCUGAUAUGCGAAAGCGUGGGGAGCAAACAGG